Molecule: ribosomal RNA, 907 nt
Filed under: uncultured Anaerolineae bacterium
Lineage: Bacteria; Bacillati; Chloroflexota; Anaerolineae
Description: bacterial SSU rRNA
Rfam family: Bacterial small subunit ribosomal RNA
Source: RNAcentral
AGGGUUUGAUCAUGGCUCAGGAUAAACGCUGGCGGCGUGCUUCAGGCAUGCAAGUCGAACGAGCGACCUCAGCUUGCUGAGGAAGCUAGUGGCGGACGGGUGAGUAACACGUAAGCAACCUGCCCAAAAGUGGGGAAUGACCCACCGAAAGUGAGCUAAUACCGCAUGUGAUGAUUCUUCCCUGGAAGACUCAUUAAAGGAUUUAUUCGCUUUUGGAGGGGCUUGCGGCCGAUUAGCUAGUUGGUGGGGUAAUGGCCUACCAAGGCGACGAUCGGUAGCUGGUCUGAGAGGACGGACAGCCACACGGGGACUGAGAUACGGCCCCGACUCCUACGGGAGGCAGCAGCUAGGAAUCUUGGGAAUGGGCGAAAGCCUGACCCAGCAACGCCGCGUGGGCGAUGAAGGCCUUCGGGUCGUAAAGCCCUUUUGUGGGGGACGAUAAUGACGGUACCCCACGAAUAAGCCACGGCUAACUACGUGCCAGCAGCCGCGGUAAUACGUAGGUGGCAAGCGUUGUCCGGAUUUACUGGGCGUAAAGGGCGUGCAGGCGGUUUGUUAAGUCUAGGGUGAAAGCUCCCGGCUCAACUGGGAGAGGUCCUUGGAUACUGGCGAACUUGAGGGAUGCAGAGGAAAGUGGAAUUCCCGGUGUAGUGGUGAUAUGCGUAGAUAUCGGGAGGAACACCAGUGGCGAAGGCGGCUUUCUGGGCAUUUCCUGACGCUGAGACGCGAAAGCGUGGGGAGCGAACCGGAUUAGAUACCCGGGUAGUCCACGCCGCAACGAUGGACAUUAUGUGUAGGGGGUAUCGACCCCCUCUGUGCCGUAGCUAACGCAAUAAGUGUCCCGCCUGGGGAGUACGGCCGCAAGGCUAAAACUCAAAGGAAUUGACGGGGGCCCGCACAAGCAGCG